This 665-nucleotide ribosomal RNA is filed under the name uncultured cyanobacterium. Its description in RNAcentral is "bacterial SSU rRNA". It matches the Rfam family "Bacterial small subunit ribosomal RNA", at positions 99 to 795 of the family's 1533-position model. The record is from RNAcentral. Lineage: Bacteria; Bacillati; Cyanobacteriota.
CGGACGGGUGAGUAACGCGUGAGAACCUGCCUUCCGGAUGGGGACAACCGCUGGAAACGGCGGCUAAUCCCCAAUAAGCCGAGAGGUAAAAUGGGUAACACCGCCGGGAGAGGGGCUCGCGUCCGAUUAGCUAGUUGGUGGGGUAAAAGCCUACCAAGGCCACGAUCGGUAGCCGGUCUGAGAGGACGAUCGGCCACACUGGGACUGAGACACGGCCCAGACUCCUACGGGAGGCAGCAGUGGGGAAUUUUCCGCAAUGGGCGAAAGCCUGACGGAGCAACGCCGCGUGGGGGAGGAAGGCUCUUGGGUUGUAAACCCCUUUUCUCAGGGAAGAAGUUCUGACGGUACCUGAGGAAUCAGCCUCGGCUAACUCCGUGCCAGCAGCCGCGGUAAUACGGAGGAGGCAAGCGUUAUCCGGAAUUAUUGGGCGUAAAGCGUCCGCAGGUGGCUGUUUAAGUCUGCUGUCAAAGACCGGGGCUCAACUCCGGGUCGGCAGUGGAAACUGGACGGCUAGAGUUCGGUAGGGGUAGAGGGAAUUCCCGGUGUAGCGGUGAAAUGCGUAGAGAUCGGGAAGAACACCGGUGGCGAAAGGCGCUCUACUGGACCGAAACUGACACUCAGGACGAAAGCUAGGGGAGCGAAAGGGAUUAGAUACCCCUGUAGUC